AAAAGUUGCAGCACAGCGUGUCACCAGAGAGGAAAAGAAUAUCCUUGCUGUGCCAAGAAAGAAAAGACCAUGGAUCUACUAGUUGCAGAUUUCAGCAGUAAUGCCAAGGGGGCAAGAAGUGACCAGCAGAACAAUUAGGCCAUGGCAACAGAAGCCAACUACAACCCAUGUUCCAAUCUAUGACCUCCCUCUCCUGCUGGUACAAGGAUAUGAAUGUGGCUGUAGCAUCAUUUUUGGAAGCCAGAAUGGUAAUACUGAAAAUCACUGCUUGUCUCAAGAUCCAACUUCUGGAAAUCUCAACCAUUCUGAAUACAGCCAUCAUUCUUAAAAUUGAAGAGAACUGUUUUACAAGAUCUUGACUUGUAAAGAAACCAAGUUUAUUAAGGGCAAGAGCUGAUAAUCAACUGACUAAUGAGGAUUGACUUCUACAAUUGAUGAGCAUGGAAUUGGAUGUGCCUAAAUCAACAGAAGAGGGAUUUUGAUGUCAUCACACUGUAGCCCCAGAAGACAGAACGCUCAAAGGUGUCAAUGGGCAGAAUUUGUAGAUGACAUACAGCAUCCAAUGGAUUACUCCUAUUCAGGAUAAUGGAAGAAAAAGGUUCUUACCCUUCAGCAGAUAGCAUGCUGAGCCCUGAACAAAUUUUAUGACUUCUGGUGCAAAGCAGACCCAGUCAGCUUGCCUCUAGCAACUGGUUAAUACUACUCCAAGGAAACCACACUUAAAAUUCUUGGAAGUUCUUUUACCAUCACAUCAAGUUGCAUUUUGAAGCUGAAGCCCUUCGAAUCCAUUUAUACCUUGUGAUAUUCCCUUGCCAGAUUGUUGUUUUGUUUGCUAGACAUGAUUUUAGGAUUUUGUCAAGGAAGCCAUCUAUGACCCCAAUCAAUCAAAACCAUAAGGAUCAAGGCUGGAAGAACCUAUUCCUUAGAGCAAAGGAUGCAAUGUCAAGCAAGUUGUGAUACCUCAACUAUCUACAAUUUAACACCAAGGAAAGAACACUGUUUGGAGAAAUGAGAAAGAUUAUCAUCAGUGUCUUUCAGAAGUCAUCAAAAGAAGAAAAGGAGAAAAGAGAGGAGAAAGCAGAAAGAUCUGGAGUCUGGGAAGUUCAAGAGCAUGGCACCAACAUCUGGCAAGGGCUUUCAUUCUGCAUCAUCUCAUGGAGGAAAAUAAAAAGAUUUCAGGUAAAUCCAGAUUUGGAGCUUAAAUGACUCAAAUGCUUUGCCUACAUUGAUCCUACAUUCAGGCUGCUUACAUAUCUCUUGGCUUCUCUGAGAACCAGAUUGUCACCACUUAAAGUGUCUUCCAGAGUCCUCACGAGUAUCAGAGAAGGCAUAAUCUGUACACGUGGCUUCAUUUAAAAUGAAAAUAUCAAGCAGUGUCAUUUUCACAAGUAUCCCCACACUGUCUGAGGCUGAAAAGAAGAGUGUAGCUAUGCACACUGCAGUGAGAAGAAAAUUUCAGCUCAAUUGGAGGAUGUAAAGAUUGAAAUACCACUGCUCCUAGUUCUGAUGCAAAAUUGAAAAGAGUGCACUGGGUCUUCAAAUGGCAUAUUGACAAGGAGAAAGAGGAAAGGAUGCCCCAGGACAGCCUGGGGGUCAAGGCUGGGCUCAGGCAUGCCUGGACAAGCCAUGCAAGUUGUCUCCGGACUUGAACCACGUAUCAGAGGAGCUAUUUGAGGAGCCACAUCAGCAUACCUGCUUCUGUGGGCCCCCAGGCUGUGGUGCUCAGCCCUUGCACUAUGAAACAUUUUUUUUUUCCAGAAGCCAAAGCUUUGAGCAUCUCCUCCCAUGUAGAGAGUGUAUAUGUUUACGUCCAUGUCUUUCGCCAUGUGAACGCAUGCAACCACCACCUCAAAUAUCAUAAAUCCUCUCUCUCCCCCUUUCUGUCUGCCUGUUUAUCUACAAUCUGUCUAUUUAAAUUCUUUUUAAACAAGAAGGGAAUAUCUUUAUGCCUGUUUGUAGGGAUAUUCUACAUCCAUCUGUUAUUUACAUCAUUCGUUUUCCUGAGGUGUCUCCAACAAAUCCUGGCUGGAUGCACUGUAUGUGUUAUUAAUAAAACAGCUGUAAAAAU
Molecule: long non-coding RNA, 2068 nt
Organism: Homo sapiens (human)
Lineage: Eukaryota; Metazoa; Chordata; Mammalia; Primates; Hominidae
Product: long intergenic non-protein coding RNA 1539
Source: Ensembl